UGGGGAAUAUCGGACAAUGGGCGAAAGCCUGAUCCAGCCAUGCCGCGUGUGUGAAGAAGGUCUUCGGAUUGUAAAGCACUUUAAGUUGGGAGGAAGGGCAUUAACCUAAUACGUUAGUGUUUUGACGUUACCGACAGAAUAAGCACCGGCUAACUCUGUGCCAGCAGCCGCGGUAAUACAGAGGGUGCAAGCGUUAAUCGGAAUUACUGGGCGUAAAGCGCGCGUAGGUGGUUUGUUAAGUUGGAUGUGAAAGCCCCGGGCUCAACCUGGGAACUGCAUUCAAAACUGACUGACUAGAGUAUGGUAGAGGGUGGUGGAAUUUCCUGUGUAGCGGUGAAAUGCGUAGAUAUAGGAAGGAACACCAGUGGCGAAGGCGACCACCUGGACUAAUACUGACACUGAGGUGCGAAAGCGUGGGGAGCAAACA
This 427-nucleotide ribosomal RNA is filed under the name uncultured bacterium. RNAcentral describes it as "partial 16S ribosomal RNA". It matches the Rfam family "Bacterial small subunit ribosomal RNA", at positions 355 to 774 of the family's 1533-position model. The record is from RNAcentral.